CUCUCGCUUUUGUGCCACCUAGGGGUGGUGGCAGAAUAAAGGGCUUGGCAAGACCGGUGCCAGCGCGCCGCGGGUAAUACCCGCCAGCCCCAGAGUGAUGGCCGAUCUUAUUGGGCCUAAAAGCGUCCCGUAGCUGGCCGCGCAAGUCCCAUCGGGAAAUCCCACCUGCUCAACAGGUGGGCGUCCGGUGGAAACUGUGUGGCUUGGGACCGGAAGGCGCGACGGGUACGUCCGGGGUAGGAGUGAAAUCCCGUAAUCCUGGACGGACCGCCGAUGGCGAAAGCACGUCGCGAGAACGGAUCCGACAGUGAGGGACGAAAGCCAGGGUCUCGAACCGGAUUAGAUACCCGGGUAGUCCUAGCCGUAAACAAUGCCUGCUAGGUGUGGCUCCCACUACGAGUGGGUGCUGUGCCGUAGGGAAGCCGCUAAGCAGGCCGC
This 438-nucleotide ribosomal RNA is filed under the name uncultured haloarchaeon. RNAcentral's name for it is "bacterial SSU rRNA". It matches the Rfam family "Archaeal small subunit ribosomal RNA", at positions 400 to 827 of the family's 1478-position model. The record is from RNAcentral. Lineage: Archaea; Methanobacteriati; Methanobacteriota; Halobacteria; Halobacteriales; Halobacteriaceae.